AAAAGGCUUCGCGACGCCGGCGAUAAAUCAGUUUGAUUCCGCCACUCGAAGCGCGCAGCCAUGCAGCAAAGACGAGUUUUCUUCCUCUUCGCGCUGCUUUUGUGCCUUCAACUUUUCAAAGAGUCGCAGGCCAGAAAAUGCCUCAGCUCGAAGGAACAGACGGGCGAUUUGUGCUCUUCCAAUAUGGAGUUUCUCAAGACAGAAAUCGAGAAAGCAACCCAAGAAUACAAAAACGCUCUAGAGCAUAAAGUGGACGAAAUCGCCAGGAUUUUGAGGCACAUGAGCAGCGAAAAUGUUGGCAGAAAUGAAGUCAUGGGGGUAAAUAUAAUUUUAAUGUUUAU
Long non-coding RNA from Cloeon dipterum, 341 nucleotides. RefSeq lists it as uncharacterized. The transcript has 3 exons. NCBI's taxonomy places the organism in Eukaryota, Metazoa, Arthropoda, Insecta, Ephemeroptera, Baetidae. The record is from RefSeq and is a predicted model, not a curated record.